UUUUAAUUAAUAAGAUAUUUUAUAAUAUGAGUUUAAAUAAACACCGCAGAAAUAAAUACAGGCUGACAUCGAUGUGUCAUAAGUCACGAGCGUCUACUAGGGUCUAACUACAACUGAAGAGUCUAAAAUGUAUUGAGUACGGAUAAAUGAAAUAAAGAUGGAGAAAAGCAGUUUUUCGGACGCCAUCAGCUACCUUGCUAAGCUCCAAUAACUCUCCCUCUGAUCCGCCAAAACCCGCUACUGGGUGUGUAAAUACCUGAAUCUGCAGACAAGGUGCAGGGAGUAAAGCGAGUACUCUAACUUAGUGAGUAAUAAAGGUAUAGUAAGAAAUCACGUAACGCAUAUCAACAUGUUGUAUAGAAUCAGUAUAAAACCAUUUAAGAAAGCAAUGAAGCUGUAAAAUCUAUUAAAAAUCUCUUAGCUCAAUUCAAACCUCUUUUGAAAAUGACUUUUAAACAAUUAUGCAAAUGAAUGAAAAUCAGUUAGUGAGGAUAAGUACAGACAAUAUGCCCCUCGGGCAGAAAUACCAUAAUUUAACGGGUGAAAUGACAAGUAAAUAGGAACGAUAAACACAUAAACGCUCUCCCAUCGGGCACAAUGUCAACAACUCUGCCCCUCGAUCAAUAUCUUAGUAAAAUACCAGCCCCUCGGGUAAUCACAUAGAACGGUACCAGUCCAUCGGGCAAUCACAUAGAACAAUACCAGCCCCUCCGGCUAUUUUAUAGUAUAAUAUCAGCCCCUCGGGCUAUAUCUCACAUAAUAAUGGGUACCUGCGCUCACUGGGGUUGUACAGACUCCAAGAGGGGCCCCUUACGACCCAAGCGCAAUAUCAAGCCAUCUCAUGGCAUCAAAUCUAGGCCCUCGGCCUCAUAUCAAUCAAGCCACCUCGUGGACUAUAUAUCUCAGGCCCUCGGCCUCAUAAACAAUAUCAAUAAGCCACCUCAUGACAUGCAUAUCUUAGGCUUUGGCCUUAAAUCAGUAUCAGUGUUUUCUCACAAUUAGGCCCUCGACCUUACUUAGUCAAAAAUACUCACAAGCCCCUAGGGCAUUAGUAAAACAACAUCAUUUAAGUCUCAAAAGUCAGGAAAAUGGGUGAGUAGCAAAACAAUGUAAAAUAAUAUGACUGAGUUUAAUUAAUAAGUCAAAACAGUGAGGAAAUAGCAAUAAAUAUCCCCGAAGGUUUCAAAUAGUUGGCACGAAGCCCAAAUAUGGCAAUCAGCCAAAAUUAUGAUGAUAACAAAAAAGUUUCGUUCAAAUAUACAGUAAAAUCAUCAAUCGGGACAUACCAAGUCACAAUCCCCAAUAGUACAUGACCCCACGCUCAUCAUCAAGCGUGUGCCACUACUAUGUGCAAAUCCAAGGUUUCAAACCCUCGGAGUAUCAUUUACAAUCAUUACUCACCUCGAACUGGUUAAAUCUCAAGCUCGCAACGCCUCUGCCCCUCGAAUCGGCCUCCAUGUGCGUCGAAUCUAUCCAAAAUCAGAAUGAAUAUGUUACGAUAUGUUAAGGGAAAAAAACCCAAGUGAAAACAAUCGAAAAAAUACCAUUAGAGCCACGAUCUCAGUAACCUAACUUUCCAUCAUGGUUUGAUAUGACUCGAGGCUGAACCUUGGCCCAUCACAUCCUGGUCUCGAUUAGUCGUACAAAAAGGCAAAUCCAAUUUUUACCGUAUACAAUUAAGUUACUUAAAACAUAUUACAAAUAACUGUCCGUAACCAGUGAAACCAGCUACGAUUCCUC
RNAcentral lists this long non-coding RNA (1740 nucleotides) under Nicotiana benthamiana. RNAcentral's name for it is "long non-coding RNA (NBEN_LNC006292)". The record is from RNAcentral. Lineage: Eukaryota; Viridiplantae; Streptophyta; Magnoliopsida; Solanales; Solanaceae.